This 465-nucleotide ribosomal RNA is filed under the name uncultured bacterium. RNAcentral's name for it is "partial 16S ribosomal RNA". It matches the Rfam family "Bacterial small subunit ribosomal RNA", at positions 28 to 507 of the family's 1533-position model. The record is from RNAcentral.
GACGAACGCUGGCGGCGUGCUUAACACAUGCAAGUCGUACGGUAAGGCCCUUUCGGGGGUACACGAGUGGCGAACGGGUGAGUAACACGUGAGUAACCUGCCCACCACUUUGGGAUAACGCUAGGAAACUGGUGCUAAUACUGGAUAUGUGCUCCUGCUGCAUGGUGGGGGUUGGAAAGCUCCGGCGGUUGUGGAUGGACUCGCGGCCUAUCAGCUUGCUGGUGGGGUAGUGGCCUACCAAGGCGGCGACGGGUAGCCGGCCUGAGAGGGUGACCGGCCACAUUGGGACUGAGAUACGGCCCAGACUCCUACGGGAGGCAGCAGUGGGGAAUAUUGCACAAUGGGCGCAAGCCUGAUGCAGCAACGCCGCGUGCGGGAUGACGGCCUUCGGGUUGUAAACCGCUUUCAGCAGGGACGAAGCUUUUUGUGACGGUACCUGCAGAAGAAGCACCGGCUAACUACGUG